This 502-nucleotide ribosomal RNA is filed under the name uncultured bacterium. RNAcentral describes it as "bacterial SSU rRNA". It matches the Rfam family "Bacterial small subunit ribosomal RNA", at positions 21 to 518 of the family's 1533-position model. The record is from RNAcentral.
GGCUCAGGACAAACGCUGGCGGCGUGCCUAACACAUGCAAGUCGAACGAAGCACUGUGGAAAGAGACUCGGUCAAUGGACACUUUGACUUAGUGGCGGACGGGUGAGUAAUGCAUGAGCAAUCUGCCCUGGAGUGGGGGACAACAGUUGGAAACGACUGCUAAUACCGCAUGAAGUACCGGGAGGGCAUCCUCUUGGGACCAAAGAUUUAUCGCUCUGGGAUGAGCUCAUGUCUGAUUAGAUAGUUGGCGGGGCAACGGCCCACCAAGUCUACGAUCAGUAGCCGGACUGAGAGGUUGAACGGCCACAUUGGGACUGAGAUACGGCCCAGACUCCUACGGGAGGCAGCAGGUGGGGAAUAUUGGGCAAUGGGGCCGCAAGCCUGACCCAGCAACGCCGCGUGAAGGAAGAAGGCUUUCGGGUUGUAAACUUCUUUUACCAGGGACGAAGAAAGUGACGGUACCUGGAGAAUAAGCCACGGCUAACUACGUGCCAGCCGCCGC